GACGUAGGAUGCGAGCGUUGUCCGGAUUUAUUGGGCGUAAAGAGUUCGUAGGUGGUUUUAUAAGUCUGGUGUAAAAGACUGAGGCUCAACCUUGGUACGGCACUGGAUACUGUAAGACUAGAGUGCAGUAGAGGCAAGCGGAAUUCCCAGUGUAGCGGUGAAAUGCGUAGAUAUUGGGAAGAACACCGGUGGCGCAAGCGGCUUGCUGGGCUGUAACUGACACUGAGGAACGAAAGCUAGGGUAG
RNAcentral lists this ribosomal RNA (245 nucleotides) under uncultured bacterium. RNAcentral describes it as "partial 16S ribosomal RNA". It matches the Rfam family "Bacterial small subunit ribosomal RNA", at positions 524 to 768 of the family's 1533-position model. The record is from RNAcentral.